AACGCACAUUGCGCCCCUCGGUAUCCCGGGGGGCAUGCCUGUUCGAGCGUCAUUUCUACUACUCAAGUUUAACUUGGUAUUGGGCAUCGUUAUGAAAAUUUUAACGUGCUUUAAAUGUAGACGGCAACAAUUCCCCAGCUUAGAGCGUAGCAGUAAAACAUUUUCGCUUUAAAAGCUGCUGGGUCUUGUUUACCGCAUAGUUUUUACUACAGUUUGACCUCGGAUCAGGCAGGGAUACCCGCUGAACUUAA
RNAcentral lists this unclassified non-coding RNA (251 nucleotides) under uncultured Zalerion. RNAcentral's name for it is "sequence contains ITS2". The stretch from base 1 to 52 matches the Rfam family "5.8S ribosomal RNA", at positions 103 to 154 of the family's 154-position model. The record is from RNAcentral. Lineage: Eukaryota; Fungi; Ascomycota.